GACGAACGCUGGCGGCGUGCCUAAUACAUGCAAGUUGAGCGCUGAAGGUUGGUACUUGUGCCCACUGGAUGAGCAGCGAACGGGUGAGUAACGCGUGGGGAAUCUGCCUUUGAGCGGGGGACAACAUUUGGAAACGAAUGCUAAUACCGCAUAAAAACUUUAAACACAAGUUUUAAGUUUGAAAGAUGCAAUUGCAUCACUCAAAGAUGAUCCCGCGUUGUAUUAGCUAGUUGGUGAGGUAAAGGCUCACCAAGGCGAUGAUACAUAGCCGACCUGAGAGGGUGAUCGGCCACAUUGGGACUGAGACACGGCCCAAACUCCUACGGGAGGCAGCAGUAGGGAAUCUUCGGCAAUGGACGAAAGUCUGACCGAGCAACGCCGCGUGAGUGAAGAAGGUUUUCGGAUCGUAAAACUCUGUUGGUAGAGAAGAACGUUGGUGAGAGUGGAAAGCUCAUCAAGUGACGGUAACUACCCAGAAAGGGACGGCUAACUACGUG
Molecule: ribosomal RNA, 497 nt
Filed under: uncultured bacterium
Lineage: Bacteria
Description: partial 16S ribosomal RNA
Rfam family: Bacterial small subunit ribosomal RNA
Source: RNAcentral